AUGGCAUUUAACAAUAUAAAUCUCCAUUUUCAGUGCUCGCAUAAAUCUAAUGAUUUUUUUCUCUUGAGCAAAGAGUCUUUAAUGCCUUCCUGGUGUGUUUUGCAGAGCACUGGAUCAACAUCACACAUGGAAUAUAUUUGUAAAGAGACAGGCAGGAUUAUGUCAUACCCAGAAGGGAUAAUAAUCAGGUUUUCACAAGCUCAGCAUCAAAUACAGGGCUUCCAUACCAGAGGCCACCUGCUCCAACAGAACAGCAGUCCUUUAUGA
RNAcentral lists this long non-coding RNA (267 nucleotides) under Bos grunniens (domestic yak). RNAcentral describes it as "lncRNA (ENSBGRG00000002835.1)". Lineage: Eukaryota; Metazoa; Chordata; Mammalia; Artiodactyla; Bovidae. The record is from RNAcentral.